UCACACCAGGCAGUGGAUGUGAAGUCAGAUGCCAGGCCCUUUCCUGGGCCUUGCACCCUCCGGGGUGCUGGACAACCGGGCUCCCCUGCCUCGAACCCCGCCGGGACUCAGACCUGUCCCUGGGUGUAGAGGGGGCGGCGGUGAGGCGCCAGACUUGCCAGCUGCCGCGGGAUGCCACGUGAGGGGCGGAGACCCUGCGGGGAAGCGAUUAAAAGCUGAACGGAGCCGCAGGGGGCCGCUGCGGGGAGGGUCUUCUUGGGGCAGCCUCGCCCCGCCCCAGUCCGGCGGCGGCACCGGUUCCGGCGGCUGCUUGAAGCGCCGGGGCGUCCCGGGCAUGAGUGGGGUUUGGGGGACCGGGGGGCCUCGGUGCCAGGCGGCGCUCGCGCUCCUGGCCUCGCUGUGCCGGGCCCGGCCGCCCCCUCUCGGGCUGGACGUGGAGACUUGUCGGAGCUUCGAGCUACAGCCCCCAGAGAGGAGUCCGAGCGCGGCCGACUCAGGUACCUCUGUCAGCCUCCUCGCAGUGGUAGUGAUUGUGUGUGGCGUGGCCCUGGUGGCAGUUUUUCUCUUUCUCUUUUGGAAGCUGUGCUGGACGCGCUGGAGGGGCAAGGAGGCCUCCAGUCCCACUUCUGCUAACCCUCCCCCGGAGGCCCUCCAGGGCCCCGGCUCCAGAGGCAACAUGGCAGACAAGCUGAAGGACAGCAGCACCCUGGGCUUCCUGGAGGCAGCUGUGAAGAUCAGCCACACAUCCCCGGAUAUCCCGGCCGAGGUGCAGAUGUCAGUCAAGGAGCACAUCAUGCGUCAUGCACGGCUGCAGCGACAGACCACGGAGCCAGCAUCAUCUACCAGGCACACAUCCUUCAAGCGCCACCUGCCACGGCAGAUGCACGUCUCCAGUGUGGACUACGGCAACGAGCUGCCGCCGGCAGCAGAGCAGCCCACAAGCAUUGGCCGAAUCAAGCCUGAACUCUACAAGCAGAAGUCGGUGGACGGGGACGAUGCCAAGUCCGAGGCCGCCAAGAGCUGUGGGAAAAUCAACUUCAGCCUGCGCUACGACUAUGAGAGUGAGACCUUGAUCGUGCGCAUCCUGAAGGCCUUCGACCUCCCUGCCAAGGACUUCUGUGGCAGCUCUGACCCCUAUGUCAAGAUCUACCUCCUGCCUGAUCGCAAGUGCAAGCUGCAGACCCGAGUGCACCGCAAGACCCUGAACCCCACGUUCGAUGAGAACUUCCACUUCCCGGUGCCCUACGAGGAGCUGGCUGACCGCAAGCUACAUCUCAGUGUCUUUGACUUCGAUCGCUUCUCCCGCCAUGAUAUGAUUGGAGAGGUCAUCCUAGACAACCUCUUUGAGGUCUCCGACCUGUCCCGGGAAACCUCCAUCUGGAAGGACAUCCAGUAUGCCACAAGUGAAAGCGUGGAUCUGGGAGAGAUCAUGUUCUCCCUGUGCUACCUGCCAACAGCAGGCCGGCUCACCCUCACAGUGAUCAAAUGUCGGAACCUCAAGGCGAUGGACAUCACAGGCUACUCAGAUCCAUAUGUCAAAGUGUCCCUGCUUUGUGACGGGCGGAGACUGAAGAAGAAGAAAACGACCAUAAAGAAAAACACUCUAAAUCCUGUCUACAAUGAAGCCAUCAUCUUUGACAUCCCCCCAGAGAACAUGGAUCAAGUCAGUCUGCUCAUCUCGGUUAUGGAUUAUGAUCGAGUGGGCCACAAUGAGAUCAUAGGAGUCUGCCGUGUGGGGAUCAAUGCUGAGGGCCUGGGCCGGGACCACUGGAACGAGAUGCUGGCAUACCCGCGGAAGCCCAUUGCACACUGGCACUCCUUGGUGGAGGUAAAGAAAUCCUUCAAAGAGGGAAACCCUCGGUUGUGAUUUCAUUCACGUGGACGCUGCAAGCAGAGAGACUGUCACCUGGAGUUAGGAUGGCAGGGCCGGGCUGCCAGCUUUGACAGCGAGAGCUCGUGCCCGUCUCCGAAACCACCUCCCACACCAUGAGCUGUGCGACCGGGCGACACCAACGGGACUCAGCGACGCUCUUUUUGCACUCGUUCAACUGUCCAAACACAGUGUCGCGCAGGGGCAGCAGCAGCCGUAGCACGAGUCUUAACUGCUCCUGCGUGGGUCAAGGCCACGACCCUUGUCGUGUGGCCAGACCUGUCUUAGUCUUUCUUGUCUCUCAAGGUGAUGUUUUCUGUGGUUUUUCACUUUUUAUGGAUCUGCUGCCAAGAAGAGAAGGGGGAAAGAGUAGGAGAAAAAGAAGAGUAGAGAGUCCAGAAGCUGGUUCAUAUAAAAUACCAUGUAAAAUAGUCUUCUCUUCUGGGGAGGUGGUGUGAUUUCCUUCAGUGUUGUGUCUCCACCAAGUGCCACAACCCUGGAGGAGAAGGACGUGGGAUGGAGCCAUGGCUGUGUCUGCAGUAGCCUGCAGAAAGGAGCAAAUCAGGCCAAGAGCCUUGACACAGCUCUAGUUGUGACCCUUGGAAGCUCUCUGUUCCUGUGACACAGACCGCGAUGCAGACUCCUGGUCCUACGGUGAAAUCACGAGCGCUCCGAGGUGUCCACGCAGCUCCGCUGGUCGUGCAGGGCUCCUUGUGUCCCCAUCUGCCUCCACUUCCUUGUUGACUUUCCUCAUCAUUUGAAAGUGUCUUGACUUCUCCUGAGAACUCAGCCCCUCUCUUUAGGAAUGAGAUUCUGCUGAAUCGAAACAUGCCGAAUGUUUUCUGGCACACCACAGUUAAUGACCAUAUUUGUUUGAACGCAGGGUCUUUGUUCUCAAAAGUAACCUCCGUUGUAAAGAAGAGAAGGCACACGUGUUUCAGAAUGACUUCUGUGUCGUGCGUAGCUUUAUGAAUUCCAUGAAGUAUCGAGCAACUGUGUAAAAAUGCCUACACAGAUCAAAGAAACACCUGCAUAAAAUGUUCUUUGGGGAAUGGGUGUUUUAAUCCAAGUCACAGCUGGAAUCCAUCUUUCUGUGAAGAGAAUCUUCUCGAUUGAAACAAAGCCAGCUUAAGCCUAUUUCAGCCCCCUUGACUCUGGGACAGUAUUCAUCUUAAACUUUAGUUCUAUAGAUUACUAAGUAUUUCAGUGUUUGUUUUAGUGGUAGUGAACGCUUUCCCCCCAUGCCCUUUAGAUCUCUAUCUUAGGCCAAAUUCAGUUUAGGAAAAAAAAACAAAAAGUUUCAACUAUUCUGUAUUGUAAUGGUACGUUUCUGUUGAGUUCGUAGUGGUCUCCCCACCAACCACAUAUAACUCGCUUGAUUUCCUCACAGUCUGUAGAGCCCUGGUAAAUUUGUGGAGGUGAGUUUCUACUUUAUCUGUGACUACACAAUGCCAGCUUCCAGAGUUGUGUGUGUGACUUGGCAAGAGGCAAGUCUGCUGAAGAAACCCUUCUUACAUCAGGGGAAGGUCAAGAAGGGAAAAGCUAUUCACGCACCUUGUGUCUUAGUCUUUAUGUCACGUGCUUUAGGAGCAGAAACUCAAUAAAGUAAGCCUCCCCUUAAGCCAAGUUAUCAGGUUUCUCUGCUGAUAGAACUGUGGGCAGUAUCUUCUACCCAAAGUUCAGACUGGGCGAGAGGAUGACCAAGAUAUUGUGGCCAGAGAAGUUUUCAGCUUAGAGAAGCAAAGGCAGAUACACCAAAUCCCACUCUGUACUAAGCCUUGGGCUAGGAGUUCAUGUGUCAUUGGUAUAGAGAUAGUUUUCUCCCCAAAUAUCUUGUGAUCGAGAGGCCAUCCUUGUCAGGCUGUACUGAGCUGGGUGUUCUUUUGAGAGUGAGACAAAAACCCAAAAUCACGACAAGACUCAGAGCAGGCCGUAAUCUUCAUUCUGUCUCUUGACUCGAGACUGACUUCAUCAAGAUGGCCGUCUCGAUCACUGAGCAGAGGCUGUGGGGUCCCUGCAACUAGGAAGGGGACAGUUGAGUUUCCUGGGCCAUGAGCAGCCCAGAAAUGAGGGUGAGAGGGUCUUUCCGGAAGUGAUCUCAAAACGCAUGUCCAGCUGCCUUCUUCAUAGCCCUGGACACACGAGGAUGACCACUUAACUCUUGGAGGAGGAAGGGUGAUCCGUGGAAUAGUUACUGCUCUCAGACAUCCCUUCUAUGUCCAAGCAGCUAACUCACACAAGUGAACCUCCCAGUGGUUUUGGGAAAUCAUUUCCUGAACAGAUGAUAGUCAGCCCCACACUACCUACCCAGCUGCUGCUGCUCACACUGCAGCGGUCUUGGUAAAUUUCUAUAGGCUGGGAAGCCCACCCCAGGGAGGCUCUUGGCUCCAGGAGCCCCACCCCCAGUGUCUUCUGGGGGGACUAGUCCUCAACCCAAAGCAUGAAUGAAUCUGAAUGUCUGUCAACGUCAUUAUCGAGCCCAAUACUUCUUCCUCGCGGAUGAGAGUAAAAUGAAUUACAAGUUUCAGAAUAAAAUGGAAUACAAAGUCGAUUCAUUUGUUAGCUUCUCUGCCACAAGAAGCCUUUUUCUUGGGUUGGUGUUUUGAGCUUUGCUGAAGUCAUGAUAACCAAGGCCUUUUGCAUAUUGAUGUUUUUAAAAAAAUGCCAAGUUCUCUUCUUUAUUCAGCAGUUUUUCUGGGCUGAAAGAUGCCCUCCCUUCCUUUGCAUACUCAGGAUAUUAAUUAAUUGCAACAUCAUUUAAAUAAUUAUGUUGUUAAUUACCGCUUCAUGUCUCCCGCCCCGUCACAGCCUGAAGUUUUUCUUCAAUUAAAUCUGUGUCUUGCCCGUUUCUCUUGUCAUCGUAUGUUCCUGAGGCUCAGCCGUCCGCAUACACACAGGACACUGCACAGCUUUUGUCUUUAAGUGUUGUUUCCCGUAGAUAACCAGUUCCCUUCCAUCGGAGCUACCGUGGAAGGCUUGUUUGUUUUUUGUGCUGCCCAGAAAAUACCCGCAUACCCCACGAAGCUAAAAUCCACCUGUGUUCUGCCAGGCUUAUGGCUCGCAGAGCAUUUGGAGCGCGGGGCUGUGCUGUUUCCUAGCUGUUCAGCUCAGCAAGCAGCCCCUCCAGAUGCCCAGGCUUCUCUAGGGAAGCGGGUUGCACGCUCAUCGCCGGAAAGUGCAACACUUCCGCCCACCGGGGGAGGAAUCCCGCUAACUCUCAUAAAACACCACUUGGCCGAGUGAGGAGAAAAAUCCUGCUGCAGACUUGAACAUUUAAAAAGAACAUUCUGACUUAAUAGAAUAUCCUCUGUGCUCACCCCCAGCUUUUAAUUAAUUUAGGAAGCAGCCCAUAGGGAGGAACGUGGAAGGUACCGUCCGCUCUUGCACAUCUGCAUCUAAAUUACUGGCACUCGGCAGUGAGCUGCCGUGGAGAGAGCCCAGGUGGUGAGGGAAGCACUCUGCUUCCCAAACCCACAGCCUCCCAGGGCUUCCGCAGGCUGAGGGGUCGCCCAUCAGCAGGCGGGGCCGCUCCUAUUUGGAGCGGAUCCCGGAAAGGGGCAGAUGGGUCUGGCUGGCUGGGCUGGGUCAGGCAGCCAGAACAACCUUCAGACUUCCGUGGCUGGGAACAACAAUGGCUUCUCAUUCGUGCUCAUGCCCGUCGCAGGUCGCAGGUCGGCAAAGGGAUCCCUGCUCAUCUGAUGUUUUCAGGGGAACUCAGAAUGACAAAGGAGCCGACAUCUCCAACAUGGCUAGUUGCCACACCCGAGGGAAAUGAGCACUCCGAAGCUUCUCUGUUGGCCUCAACACUGUGGCCCAGAGGAGACACAUGUCCCUUUCCCUCCCCGUCCAUGACCCACGACUACUCAUGGGGCCUCCCAGAACACAGGGGUUCAAGCGCCCAAGGGGAAGAAGAACUGGAAAUCACUGUCCAGUGCUUGGGAUGACCACAGUGAAGUUAGCAGCCCCAUGGAGGGUGACAGCUGCCCCUGGCUGAGUCAGAGAAACAAAGAGAAGUUACAGUCCAUUAGUUGUUGAGUGAACUCAAGGACUAGAUGGAGCCCCCAGGACUGGGCCAGCCUCAGACUCGCAUGCUGCCGGCAAAAAGCUUUUGGCUAGUGAACUGGCAGCGUAAGUGAUUAUAGUCGGAGAUAGAAAGUGGUGAGCACAGGAUGGGAGAUGAAAUAGAAGGCUCCAGAAUUCUGAGAAAGCAGAUCACAGCAGGGCAGAAUGACCCGCUUCAGAUUUGGAAUACAGGAGGGUGUGAGGAGGGGACACAUCCCGGGCUGAGGGGCCUAUACACCAUGCCACCAGGCUGCAGACCUGGCCCCUGCCUCGUUCCUGCUAGGUGCCUCCACGAAAUGGGCCCGCUGCCCCUCCUCCCUCCACUGCUGGCUUGGCUUCUGCUCCUGGGUGGGCUAAUCCCCCCGGAACUGCAAGCUUUGCCUGACUUUGAGACUCUGUCUAGCUGUCACACGUCAUCCACUCACCCAGCCUCCCCUCCCCGGGAAGUUUUGCAGCCACAGCCCACUCAGGACUUCGUGAUUUGUCCCGUGGCCCGCUCCUCUUUGCAGUGAGCCCCAUCUAGAUGUCUGAUGGCCUAGGAAGGGGAACAGGACUGGCCUCCCCUCAAACCCCCCAUGGCUUUCCUCUGGCUGGCUCACAGCGGCACUCCCAGCAUGGCCACGGCAAGCCCACCAGCAAGAUUGGAGGCCAAGAGGCUGGCAGGCAGUUAGAGCCGUUCACCCAGGAGGGGCGGAGGGGUGAGCUAGACAGAGGUCCCACACAGGGAAACGAGGGCACCUGUACAGGACACAGUGGACACAGGUGGACCACGCAGCAGGGCUGACGGCUUAGCAGAUCUGGAAGGCAGGGAUAAGGAAGGGAGUCGAAUGUUCUCACACUUGAGGCACCAGAAAAAUGAUGGAGCCUUCCAUAGAACCUGGAGACUCGACAGAUCAGCUCUGGGCUCAGCAAUGAGUCGGGUUUGGGUCAACUGAAUUUGAGAUGCAGAAGGGAUAAGCAGCAGACGGCCGUAGUUUGAGAAGCAGUUUGGCAGAGAGGUCGGGCGUGAGAUGUUAAUUUCUAGAAAGCUUAUGCACCAGAACGAGAUGUGAAGCCAAGAGUCUGACACAGCCACAUGGGUACAAGCAGACAAGGAGAAUCUCAAAGAGGGCUUCUUGGGGAACCAUCAAGAUUUAGAGGUCAAGGAAAAAGAAAGUGAUGUGAAUGAUCAUGGAGGUGUGCCCAAGCAAAGUUGAUCAAUGAGGAUGGGGAUGAAUAAAACAGAUCAGUCAAGGGCCUCAUAAAAUGAUUCUUCACAAGUUCAUCCAAAGUGCUUGGACAUCGCUUGAGUCGCAAGUCUGCUCCCCCCUCGUUGGCAGGGACCCUCGUCUUCCUUCCCCUUGCCUCUGCUCUUGCCUUUGGCGUGGGGGGGGUAGAAUAUACUUGUCUUCAGUUUACCAUUUUAACCAUUUUUAACAGUAUAAUGCAGCGGCUUUCAAUAUAUUCACAUUGUUGGGGAACCGUCACCACUGGCCCUCCACAGAACUUUUCUCAUCUCUGCACCCAUUGAACAGCAGAUCCCUAGCCCCUGGCAACCCCAUUCUAUUUUCUGUGUUCAUGAAUUUCACUAUUCCAGAUACCUCAUGUAAGUGGAAUCAUAUCGUAUCUGUCCUUUCGUGUCAGGAUUAUUUCACUUAGCAGAAUAUCCUCAAGGUAGACCCAUGUUGUAUAUGUGUCAUAAUUUCCUUCCUUUUUAAGGCCAAAUAAUAUUCCAUUGUAUGAAUAUACUACAUUUUGUUUUCCAUUGAUCUGUUGGUGGACCUUUGGGUCGCUUCCACCUUUUGGCUAUCGUGAAUAAUUCCUCUGUGAAUGUGGGUAUACAAAGAUCUCUUCUUGUCUCUGCUUCUCUGGGGUGUACACCCAGAAGUGGAUGGUCAUUCUAUUUUUAAUAUUUGGGGGAACUGCCAUACUGUUUUUCAUAACGGUGGCGCCAUGUUACAUUCCCUCAGGCAGUGCCCAAAAGUUCCAAUUUCUCUCCACCCUCACCAACACUUGUUAUUUUAUAUAUUUUUGAUGGCAGGCAUCAGAAAGGGUGUGAAAUGGUAUCUAACUGUGAUUUGAUUUGCAUUCUCCUAAUGAUCAGUGAUGUCAAGUAUCUUUUUUUUUUUCAGUAUGCAAUACAGGUUUAUUAACUAUACAUCCCCAUGACUUACUUGUUAUACAACUGAAAGUUUUGAUGUCAAGUAUCUUUACUGGCCAUCUGUAUAUCUCUUUUGGAAAAAUGUC
Mustela lutreola (European mink) is the source of this 8158-nucleotide RNA transcript. It is a transcript of the gene named synaptotagmin 6, with no coding region annotated. Lineage: Eukaryota; Metazoa; Chordata; Mammalia; Carnivora; Mustelidae. The record is from RefSeq and is a predicted model, not a curated record. The transcript has 8 exons.